GAUGAACGCUGGCGGCGUGCCUAAUACAUGCAAGUCGAGCGAACAGACGAGGAGCUUGCUCCUCUGAUGUUAGCGGCGGACGGGUGAGUAACACGUGGAUAACCUACCUAUAAGACUGGGAUAACUUCGGGAAACCGGAGCUAAUACCGGAUAACAUGUUGAACCGCAUGGUUCAACAGUGAAAGACGGUCUUGCUGUCACUUAUAGAUGGAUCCGCGCCGCAUUAGCUAGUUGGUAAGGUAACGGCUUACCAAGGCAACGAUGCGUAGCCGACCUGAGAGGGUGAUCGGCAACACUGGAACUGAGACACGGUCCAGACUCCUACGGGAGGCAGCAGUAGGGAAUCUUCCGCAAUGGGCGAAAGCCUGACGGAGCAACGCCGCGUGAGUGAAGAAGGUCUUCGGAUCGUAAAACUCUGUUAUUAGGGAAGAACAAAUGUGUAAGUAACUAUGCACGUCUUGACGGUACCUAAUCAGAAAGCCACGGCUAACUACGUG
Molecule: ribosomal RNA, 497 nt
Filed under: uncultured bacterium
Lineage: Bacteria
Description: partial 16S ribosomal RNA
Rfam family: Bacterial small subunit ribosomal RNA
Source: RNAcentral